RNAcentral lists this ribosomal RNA (320 nucleotides) under uncultured eukaryote. RNAcentral describes it as "partial 18S ribosomal RNA". It matches the Rfam family "Eukaryotic small subunit ribosomal RNA", at positions 1470 to 1796 of the family's 1831-position model. The record is from RNAcentral.
CCCUUAGAUGUCCCGGGCUGCACGCGCGCUACACUGACACAAGCAACAUGUACUCCUCACCCGAAAGGGUCGGGAAAUCCUUGUAAACUGUGUCGUGAUGGGGAUAGAUUUUUGCAAUUGUGAACCUUCAACGAGGAAUUCCUAGUAAGUGCAAGUCAUCAACUUGCGCUGAUUACGUCCCUGCCCUUUGUACACACCGCCCGUCGCUCCUACCGAUUGAGUGUUCCGGUGAAUAAUCUGGAUCGCGAUUACUGUACUUGUACCUUGAUUGCGAGAAAUUUAGUGAACCUUAUCACUUAGAGGAAGGAGAAGUCGUAACA